Molecule: ribosomal RNA, 495 nt
Filed under: Aufidus alacaligus
Lineage: Eukaryota; Metazoa; Arthropoda; Insecta; Hemiptera; Cercopidae
Description: SSU rRNA
Rfam family: Eukaryotic small subunit ribosomal RNA
Source: RNAcentral
UUUCUUGAUUCGGUGGGUGGUGGUGCAUGGCCGUUCUUAGUUGGUGGAGCGAUUUGUCUGGUUAAUUCCGAUAACGAACGAGACUCUAGCCUGCUAAAUAGGCGAUUUCCGGUACCCACAAUAGUGUUACCGGCGAUUCAAUUUCUUCUUAGAGGGACAGGCGGCUCCUAGCCGCACGAGACUGAGCAAUAACAGGUCUGUGAUGCCCUUAGAUGUCCUGGGCCGCACGCGCGCUACACUGAAGGAAUCAGCGUGUCUUCCCUGGCCGACAGGCCGGGGUAACCCGUUGAACCUCCUUCGUGCUAGGGAUUGGGGCUUGCAAUUGUUCCCCAUGAACGAGGAAUUCCCAGUAAAGCGCGAGUCAUAAGCUCGCGUUGAUUACGUCCCUGCCCUUUGUACACACCGCCCGUCGCUACUACCGAUUGAAUGAUUUAGUGAGGUCUUCGGACUGGUGCGCGGCGAUCGGUUCUGCCGGUCGCCGAUGUUGCUGGAAAG